This 309-nucleotide ribosomal RNA is filed under the name uncultured Glomus. Its description in RNAcentral is "SSU rRNA". It matches the Rfam family "Eukaryotic small subunit ribosomal RNA", at positions 569 to 883 of the family's 1831-position model. Lineage: Eukaryota; Fungi; Glomeromycota; Glomeromycetes; Glomerales; Glomeraceae. The record is from RNAcentral.
AGCAGCCGCGGUAAUUCCAGCUCCAAUAGCGUAUAUUAAAGUUGUUGCAGUUAAAAAGCUCGUAGUUGAAUUUCGGGAUCAAUACGUCGGUCGUGCCUUUGGUACGUACUGUCGUCAUUGGUUUCUCCUUUCUGACGAACCAUGAUGUCAUUAAUUUGGUGUUAUGGGAAGUUAGGACUGUUACUUUGAAAAAAUUGAGUGUUUAAAGCAGGCAUUAGCUUGAAUACAUUAGCAAUGGAAUAAUGAAAUAGGACGUUCGAAUCCUAUUUGUUGGUUCUAGGAUCAACGUAAUGAUUAAUAGGGAUAGUU